Prunus dulcis (almond) is the source of this 793-nucleotide long non-coding RNA. RefSeq lists it as uncharacterized. NCBI's taxonomy places the organism in Eukaryota, Viridiplantae, Streptophyta, Magnoliopsida, Rosales, Rosaceae. The transcript has 4 exons. The record is from RefSeq and is a predicted model, not a curated record.
UCGAUUGGUUUUCUUCGGUUUCGGCUGCUUCAUCCUCUAGGUUUGGCACCGAAAAAAGACCCAACCCGCCUAAGGGGGCCUAGCCGCCUAGCCCAACAUUGCCGGCUUGUUGCAGAUUUUGACGGAGAAAAAUCUGAUAGCGGAGAAGGGUCGAGUUCCAGAGCCAUAGAAUUCGACCAUAUUCAGGAGGAGAUUGAGGAGGUGUCUGCCGUUCCGGAAUUAUUUUGACGGAGAAAAAUCUGAUAGCGGAGAAGGGUCGAGUUCCAGAGCCAUAGAAUUCGACCAUAUUCAGGAGGAGAUUGAGGAGGUGUCUGCCGUUCCGGAAGUGAAGGAGAAGAAUAAGAGCAGAAAUGCUUUGAGGAAGGGGUCGGAAGGUGAAGAGGUCCGAGCUAUGCAGGAAGCAUUGCAAAAACUAGGAUUUUACUGGGGUGAGGAAGACAUGGAGUUUUCCAGCUUCUCAAGCGGGACCGAACGUGCUGUCAUGACUUGGCAAGCCUCCUUAGACGCCCCCUCAAAAUGGCAUAGUGACUGCCGAACUUCUUGAACAAUUACGGUGGCACAAAUUGAGGGUCUGGAUAACAAAGGGAGUACUCUGACUGCUGCACAAAAGGAAGAUACAAAUGGAGCUGCAGUUACUUCUGCAACAGAAAUUUCAGAGGUCCAGCAAACACUUGUGAAAGAAGGUGUUACAGAAGUAGAGGUAUCUGAGCAUCGUGUUUUUCUCCUUGGAGAGAACCGCUGGGAAGAUUCUUCUAGACUUAGCAGGAACUGAAAAAAAAAAAAAAAAGGGAGG